RNAcentral lists this long non-coding RNA (2317 nucleotides) under Scophthalmus maximus (turbot). Its description in RNAcentral is "lncRNA (ENSSMAG00000025401.1)". Lineage: Eukaryota; Metazoa; Chordata; Actinopteri; Pleuronectiformes; Scophthalmidae. The record is from RNAcentral.
CUUUUUAUGACCUGGACUUCGGGGGAAAAAUCGACAAACGACAGGGAAGAAGUUUAUUUUAAAGCAACAAUCAGACGUCGACAUGACGACGAAGCCCGGACGAGGCCUUUGCUUCCUGGUUAUGUGAGGACAUUCAUCCACAAGUUCAUCUGUUCAAGUGGAUAUAUUCCAACGUUAUUGUCUUUUUCAUAGAAAAACUGAAAGAGGGAACGAUCGGAGCCAAUGAUUUGAAAUAUUGUUUGCUCCCCCAGACGGGCGCAUAGACCGUUGUGGCGACAGAUGAAUACUUUAAGAAGGAGUGUAGGAAGGACAUUAUGUACAAAGUCAGGUCACAGCAAGGAGGUUCCUGGUUUCGAAUCCAGAUUCGGACCAACCCUCGAAAGGAUAAUGCGGUAUGUAGAUAAUGGAUGGAUGGAUGCUACUGAGGUCAAACAAAGAUGAGGGACCAAAAGCGGGGGGGUGGGCCGGGCCGCCGGCUGACCUGAGCUGCCUCCUUGAUAUGCAGCGUUUCCAGAUAAAUGCCCCACUGUGGUUUGUAAUAAUGGCUCAGUGUUGUGUGCUGUGUGUGUGUGUGUGUGUGUGUGGACGUUGCCCUCUCACUUCGCCUCAUUAAGGGGAAGUGACUGGAUUUACAAGGCUAAUCCCAUUAUGAUGCUGCUGCCAUGUGAGGGCCGGUUGCAGGGAUUAAGGAGCCGAAGGGGUCGGACCUCAGGAUCCAGAUCAGCAGCAAACUGGGGGACGACCGACGACUGACACACACACACACACACACACACUCCGAUGGCACGUGUACACGGCGCAGAUGACGAUGACUGUGACCGACGAGGGGUCUUCACCUGUCGUCUGGAGCUUCACUGACGCGGACGGAGCUGCUGCCGAUCAAGUGCCAAAGGAGGUGAAGGUCUGGAUGAGGGACGUGAGAUCUGACUCUCAGAGCAGAACAUCUGACCGGAGACGAGAGACGAGAGACGAGAGACGAGAGACGAUGUGCAGGGAGACAAGUGACCGCGUCCCUUGUCCGGGGUCACGGAGGUCGCGAGCGGCCUAGAAAGACCUCAUGCGACAGUUCCAAUACCCAUCACAAAGUCGUGUCGAGUGUGUUUCUCCUUGAGCGGUAGCACACGGAGAUCUGGAAGUGGGGGUCGUUGGAUUUCUUUGUGGCUCCGUCGCAGACGGUAGAGUGAGCUCUGAGGGAAGCAAGUCGGAGUCUGACACAGCGGAGGGUUUUUCUUGUUUUCUUUCGUACUGAAGAGGCAGGAGGAGCGGCCGGCGGCGGUGAGUGCAACCUGCUCCAGGGCCCGCAGGCGUCUACUGCGUCUUCAUCCUCCACCUCCUCGUCCUGCUGCAGCUCUCAGGUAAUCGCAGGAAUAUUACGUGCAUAUCACUGCAGCGGUGACGCCGUAUGGAAAUGACUUGAACUUUGCAUUGUUACGAGGGAGAUCACGGGCAAACCACCUUGGAGGUCAAUCAACGACUGAACUGGUCGCAACCAAUCCAAAAGUUCCGGGAAAUUAUGAUGUAACGGCAUCCUUAAUCCAUAAUUACACUCCUCGCAUAAGGAGGAUGGAACCAAGCCGACAAACCGCGAGAUGAAUCGUCACCAUAAAAAGAAAUUUAUUCGUAGCAAAAAAAAAGGUUUAUAAAUUGGAAAACGGAAAAAAAAACCGCAAAGGCACAAGAGUGCGUACAUAAUUCCAUAAGCCAUUACGAAAGGGUGAUCAGAAUUUCGGGCAGUUGUAAAAUAAAAAAACAAAAAAUUAAAAUGAAACGUUCCAUUAUGAACACAAACGCGAGGUCAUCCCCGUCCGACGAUCAAAGGAUCACAGGCGCGCACGCACGCACACGCACGUGAUCUGUGACGUCAUCGCAUGUAACAGGUAGGGAAUCCUCUAAGAAUCCCAUCCGAAUUAUUAGCAGACACACCGAGGCGAGUCGCCUGACCACCAGCCGCAGAGACGGACGCAGUCCGUGAGGCCGACGACCUGGUAGUGACGACGCGGUCAGAAUGAGCUGGUCCAUCGCUCCGCCGCUUGCUAGAGUUACGGUCAGGGUCAUUAAUAAUCUUAAUUAUGGGAGGUUUACACCUGCAUAGAAAUCUGAUGAAUAAAAUGGUUAAACUGCACAAUUGGAUCCAAUCGCUCUGUCUUGUUAGCUAGCAUAUUCGCUUCCACAGAUGAUGUUCAAAGCUAUUUUUGCAAUUCAAAAAGUGGUCAACAUGAAACGACCUCCUUCCAUUUAGGUGAAAUUAUGAAUUUGUGACAGUUUACCGGAUCCGUUUGCUUUAACUCUGCGUCUCUGCUUUUUCCCUUCUGGGUCU